UACGUAGGGCGCGAGCGUUGUCCGGAUUUAUUGGGCGUAAAGCGCUCGUAGGCUGCUUGUCGCGUCGUUCGUGAAAACCUGCAGCUCAACUGCAGGCUUGCGGUCGAUACGGGCAGGCUAGAGUUCGGUAGGGGAGACUGGAAUUCCUGGUGUAGCGGUGAAAUGCGCAGAUAUCAGGAGGAACACCGGUGGCGAGGGCGGGUCUCUGGGCCGAUACUGACGCUGAGGAGCGAAAGCGUGGGGAGCGAACAGG
Molecule: ribosomal RNA, 253 nt
Filed under: uncultured bacterium
Lineage: Bacteria
Description: partial 16S ribosomal RNA
Rfam family: Bacterial small subunit ribosomal RNA
Source: RNAcentral